This 630-nucleotide ribosomal RNA is filed under the name uncultured bacterium. RNAcentral describes it as "bacterial SSU rRNA". It matches the Rfam family "Bacterial small subunit ribosomal RNA", at positions 93 to 740 of the family's 1533-position model. The record is from RNAcentral.
UAGUGGCGAACGGGUGCGUAACACGUGAGGAACUUGUCCCGGUCUCUGGGAUAACAGUUGGAAACGACUGCUAAUACCGGAUGACGUCGGAACUUCGCAUGGAGUACUGACGAAAGGGUUACUGGAUCGGGAGAGCCUCGCGGCCUAUCAGCUUGUUGGUGGGGUAAUGGCCUACCAAGGCAUCGACGGGUAGCUGGUCUGAGAGGAUGAUCAGCCACACUGGGACUGAGACACGGCCCAGACUCCUACGGGAGGCAGCAGUGGGGAAUCUUGCACAAUGGGCGAAAGCCUGAUGCAGCAACGCCGCGUGCGGGAAGAAGGCCCUCGGGUUGUAAACCGCUUUCAGAAGGAACGAAACUGACGGUACUUUCAGAAGAAGGUGCGGCCAACUACGUGCCAGCAGCCGCGGUGACACGUAGGCACCAAGCGUUGUCCGGAUUUAUUGGGCGUAAAGAGCUCGUAGGCGGUUCAGUAAGUCGGGUGUGAAAACUUUGGGCUUAACCCAAAGCGUGCAUCCGAUACUGCUGUGACUUGAGUUCGGUAGGGGAGUGGGGAAUUCCUAGUGUAGCGGUGAAAUGCGCAGAUAUUAGGAGGAACACCGGUGGCGAAGGCGCCACUCUGGGCCGAAAC